RNAcentral lists this ribosomal RNA (97 nucleotides) under uncultured bacterium. Its description in RNAcentral is "partial 16S ribosomal RNA". It matches the Rfam family "Bacterial small subunit ribosomal RNA", at positions 1386 to 1482 of the family's 1533-position model. The record is from RNAcentral.
CACACCGCCCGUCACACCAUGGGAGUUUGUUGCACCAGAAGCAGGUAGCUUAACCGCAAGGGGGGCGCUUGCCACGGUGUGGCCAAUGACUGGGGUG